RNAcentral lists this ribosomal RNA (109 nucleotides) under Cordylochernes scorpioides. Lineage: Eukaryota; Metazoa; Arthropoda; Arachnida; Pseudoscorpiones; Chernetidae. The record is from RNAcentral.
AUGUGGCGGAUCAAUACUGUGUUCUCGUCCGAUCACCGAAGUUAAGCAUUGUCGGGCCCGGUCAGUACUUGGGAGGGUGACCACCUGGGAACACCGGGUGUUGUAGGCU